RNAcentral lists this ribosomal RNA (424 nucleotides) under uncultured bacterium. RNAcentral describes it as "bacterial SSU rRNA". It matches the Rfam family "Bacterial small subunit ribosomal RNA", at positions 358 to 773 of the family's 1533-position model. The record is from RNAcentral.
GGAAUAUUGGACAAUGGGGGCAACCCUGAUCCAGCCAUGCCGCGUGUGUGAAGAAGGCCUGCGGGUUGUAAAGCACUUUCAGUAGAGAAGAAAAGCCUAAGGUUAAUAACCUUGCUGUUUUGACGUUACCGACAGAAUAAGCACCGGCUAACUCUGUGCCAGCAGCCGCGGUAAUACAGAGGGUGCAAGCGUUAAUCGGAAUUACUGGGCGUAAAGCGCGCGUAGGUGGUUGGUUAAGUUGGAUGUGAAAGCCCCGGGCUCAACCUGGGAACUGCAUCCAAAACUGGCCGACUAGAGUACAGUAGAGGGUGGUGGAAUUUCCUGUGUAGCGGUGAAAUGCGUAGAUAUAGGAAGGAACACCAGUGGCGAAGGCGACCACCUGGACUGAUACUGACACUGAGGUGCGAAAGCGUGGGGAGCAAAC